AUGACCUCAACAGUAUAGAGGCCG
Molecule: non-coding RNA, 24 nt
Filed under: Arabidopsis thaliana (thale cress)
Lineage: Eukaryota; Viridiplantae; Streptophyta; Magnoliopsida; Brassicales; Brassicaceae
Source: RNAcentral